AGCAGCAGCCGCGGUAAUACGUAGGUGGCAAGCGUUGUCCGGAAUUAUUGGGCGUAAAGGGCUCGCAGGCGGUUUCUUAAGUCUGAUGUGAAAGCCCCCGGCUCAACCGGGGAGGGCCAUUGGAAACUGGGAAACUUGAGUGCAGAAGAGGAGAGUGGAAUUCCACGUGUAGCGGUGAAAUGCGUAGAGAUGUGGAGGAACACCAGUGGCGAAGGCGACUCUCUGGUCUGUAACUGACGCUGAGGAGCGAAAGCGUGGGGAGCGAACAGGAUUAGAUACCCCAGUAGUCCCUGUCUCUUAUAC
RNAcentral lists this ribosomal RNA (303 nucleotides) under uncultured bacterium. RNAcentral's name for it is "partial 16S ribosomal RNA". It matches the Rfam family "Bacterial small subunit ribosomal RNA", at positions 507 to 807 of the family's 1533-position model. The record is from RNAcentral.